RNAcentral lists this ribosomal RNA (550 nucleotides) under uncultured bacterium. Its description in RNAcentral is "bacterial SSU rRNA". It matches the Rfam family "Bacterial small subunit ribosomal RNA", at positions 355 to 896 of the family's 1533-position model. The record is from RNAcentral.
UAGGGAAUCUUCGGCAAUGGACGGAAGUCUGACCGAGCAACGCCGCGUGAGUGAAGAAGGUUUUCGGAUCGUAAAGCUCUGUUGUAAGAGAAGAACGAGUGUGAGAGUGGAAAGUUCAUACUGUGACGGUAUCUUACCAGAAAGGGACGGCUAACUACGUGCCAGCAGCCGCGGUAAUACGUAGGUCCCGAGCGUUGUCCGGAUUUAUUGGGCGUAAAGCGAGCGCAGGCGGUUAGAUAAGUCUGAAGUUAAAGGCUGUGGCUUAACCAUAGUACGCUUUGGAAACUGUUUAACUUGAGUGCAAGAGGGGAGAGUGGAAUUCCAUGUGUAGCGGUGAAAUGCGUAGAUAUAUGGAGGAACACCGGUGGCGAAAGCGGCUCUCUGGCUUGUAACUGACGCUGAGGCUCGAAAGCGUGGGGAGCAAACAGGAUUAGAUACCCUGGUAGUCCACGCCGUAAACGAUGAGUGCUAGGUGUUAGACCCUUUCCGGGGUUUAGUGCCGCAGCUAACGCAUUAAGCACUCCGCCUGGGGAGUACGACCGCAAGGUUG